Molecule: long non-coding RNA, 1625 nt
Filed under: Sus scrofa (pig)
Lineage: Eukaryota; Metazoa; Chordata; Mammalia; Artiodactyla; Suidae
Description: lncRNA (ENSSSCG00000043409.1)
Source: RNAcentral
GGGCCGCACCUGCAGCAUAUGGAAGUUCCCAGGCUAGGGGUCAAGUUGGAGCUGCAGCUGAGGCCUACGCCACAGCCAUGGCAACACUGGGUCUGAGCCGCGUCUGCCACCUCCACCACAGCUUGCGGCGAUGCUGGAUCCUUAACCCACUGAACAAGGCCAGGGAUUGAACCCACAUCCUCACAGAAACAACCUCGGAUUCUUCACCUGUUGAGCCAUAAUGGGAACUCUCUCACCUCAUUUUUUGAAGUUCCAAGGCACACAGAAGGUCCUGCCAAGUGUCCCAGAAAAUAUGCCUUUGAAAGGGGCAGGGUGGCUGGCUGCGGUGUUGCAAUAAGGCAGCUCUUACACUCACUCGUCCAACGGGCCCCUCCCUCGGUUCCCAGGGUGGUUAUCUUGCUCGACCAUUAGCCUAUGUCCUCCGGAGCUGGAACUGGGUGGAAGCAGGGUGGAGAGAUGUGCGGGUCCUCGAACCCAGGUGGAACUUGGCAAAUCUUGCUGGGGUGGAAUUCUGGAUAAACACAGGGAAGCCAUGAAAUCCUGGGUGCACCAAAGUGUCCUGUCUGUGCUCCGAAUCUGGCUGCCGCUGCCGCCGAAGCGGGCCCGGUUCCAGCUUUGAGUCACUGCUGCCUCCCCAGGGCUUCGAGGCACACGGACACUCUUUUGCAAUCUUUAAACAUGAUCACCACCCUGCCCCCAUUUCUCCAUGCCCACAGCUUGCUCACUCCCAGGCUCAGGUCCUGUGCAAGGUCCUGAGCACAGGGACUGGCAUCUAAUAAGCAUUCCCUAAAAGCCAGUGGCUAAUGCAAUUGCCACUGCUUCCAGGAUCCCUCCCUGACGCCUGCCUUUUGUUUGUGGGUCUCCCAUGGGGAGUAUCUCGACCUCUCUUUUGGAGCCUUCUGGAGUGUCUGGAGUGCAUGAAGUAGACAUCAGGUACCGUGGGUUCAAGGUGGGCUCCUGCUGUUUCCUUGUAGGACUGACCUCGCCCAACAGCAGUGACAAUGCUGCAUCCUUAACCCACUGAGCCACCAGGGAACUCCAAAACCCCACCAGGGAACUCCAAAACCCACAUUUUUCCAAAACGUGAAAAAACUUUGCCUUAAGUUGACUUAAGCUAAAAGAGAACUUGGAAGCCCAUGUGACCAAAAGCUGCAGGGACAGAGCUGGGUGCAGGCCUGGCAGGGGGUCAGGAGUCAUCUGGUGUCGCCGGAACUGGCUUCCAUCCACCUGACAUGCCAGCUCCCCAGGGGACAUGAUGGCUGUGGCAGCUCCAGCCCUAAAUCCCCCCCAGAGUGGGUCCAACGGGAGUCAGUCUGAGUCCCCAGCUGGGCACCUCCAAGCCAUGGCUGGGGUCGCAUCGGCCUGGGUCAUCGGACCGGUCAUCCACCCACCCCAAUCUGGUCCCUGCGGCACAGGCAUGAAUCUGCUGCCGACCCAGACCCGGAACUAGGGUGGGCAGGGACGUGGGGAAGUCUCUGAGGGUGAGGGAAGAGCCGUCCUGCCCAGCACAGAGCCCGUGGCCAAAUGACAAUGCUACUAGCUGCUGAAAUACACGUGCUACUCACCCAGGCCUUGCCCUCGGCUUGAACGCACUGGCUUUCCACCUCGGCGCUCGGAGACGUGUG